UCUCGGCAAAUUAUCCUCAUAAGUUCGACGACAAGAGGAACCACUUUUUUAGAAUAGUAUCUCCAUUACAAAAUAUUAUUCUCUUAUGUGGUGGCACAAAAUCGGAAGCCCCGACUGUUUACUAAAAACACAACUAUCUGCAAUGAUGUAAAUCAUAGUAUAGGUAGUGAGGUUUGCCCGAUGCCAUUAAUAUAAGAGAGGUAAUGGGUAACUGUUACUAAUCGAAAGUCUGGUUAAUAGCGGUCUUAACUAUGAGGAUCCAAAGGUAGCAAAAUAAAUUGGCCAUUAAAUGUGGUCCGGUAUCAAUAAUUUAACGAUGGCUUCACUGUCUCUACAACUUGCUCAGUGAAAUUGAAUUACCCGUGCAGAUGCGGGUUGCCUCCAGGGGGACGGGAAGACCCUAUGC
This 406-nucleotide ribosomal RNA is filed under the name Leucogyrophana mollusca. RNAcentral describes it as "LSU rRNA". It matches the Rfam family "Bacterial large subunit ribosomal RNA", at positions 1712 to 2096 of the family's 2925-position model. Lineage: Eukaryota; Fungi; Basidiomycota; Agaricomycetes; Boletales. The record is from RNAcentral.